AGAACGAACGCUGGCGGCAGGCUUAACACAUGCAAGUCGAACGCUCGUAGCAAUACGGGAGUGGCAGACGGGUGAGUAACGCGUGGGAACAUACCCUCCGGUUCGGAAUAGCUCAGGGAAACUUGGAUUAAUACCGGAUACGGCCGAGAGGCGAAAGAUUUAUCGCCGGAGGAUGGGCCCGCGUUCGAUUAGCUAGUUGGUGAGGUAACGGCUCACCAAGGCGAUGAUCGAUAGCUGGUCUGAGAGGAUGAUCAGCCACAUUGGGACUGAGACACGGCCCAAACUCCUACGGGAGGCAGCAGUGGGGAAUAUUGGACAAUGGGCGCAAGCCUGAUCCAGCCAUGCCGCGUGAGUGAUGACGGCCUUAGGGUUGUAAAGCUCUUUCGCUCGGGACGAUAAUGACGGUACCGAGAUAAGAACGCCCGGCUAACUUCGUGCCAGCAGCCGC
Molecule: ribosomal RNA, 448 nt
Filed under: uncultured bacterium
Lineage: Bacteria
Description: SSU rRNA
Rfam family: Bacterial small subunit ribosomal RNA
Source: RNAcentral